Molecule: non-coding RNA, 174 nt
Filed under: Pseudomonadales bacterium
Lineage: Bacteria; Pseudomonadati; Pseudomonadota; Gammaproteobacteria; Pseudomonadales
Also listed under: 1 other name
Description: 6S RNA
Rfam family: 6S / SsrS RNA
About the family: E. coli 6S RNA was the first non coding RNA to be sequenced, but its function was unknown until recently. It consists of 184 nucleotides that fold into an extended hairpin structure with a large single-stranded internal bulge.
Source: RNAcentral
CUCGCCCUGGGGUGUUGGCCAGUCAUGAAGUUCUUGAGCCGAUAAUCUUAGACCGGGGGCAGCAUUGGUGCAGGCGUGCAAGUCCGCGCGACGGAAAGCCCAACACACUGAUAACGCCCCCACUUGAACCUUAGGGUUCAAGGCCAAUUUGACAGCGGCACCACCGGGGACUUU